CCUACGGGAGGCAGCAGUGGGGGAUAUUGCACAAUGGAGGGAACUCUGAUGCAGCGACGCCGCGUGAGGGAAGAAGGUUUUCGGAUUGUAAACCUCUGUCUUCGGUGACGAAACGUGACGGUAGCCGACGAGGCAGCCACGGCAAACUACGUGCCAGCAGCCGCGGACAUCCGUGGGUGGCAAGGGUUGUCCGGAAAUACUGGGUGUACAGGGAGCGUAGGCGGGAAAGCAAGUUGAAUGUUUAAGGUACGGGCUCAACCUGUACAAGCGUUCAAAACUGUUUUUCUUGAGUGGGGUAGAGGUGAGCGGAAUGCCUGGUGUAGCGGUGAAAUGCGUAAAUAUUAGGAGGAACACCAGUGGCGAAGGCGGCUUACUGGGCUGUAACUGACGCUGAGGCUCGAAAGCGUGGGUAGCAAACAGGAUUAGAUACCCUUGUAGUC
This 440-nucleotide ribosomal RNA is filed under the name uncultured bacterium. RNAcentral describes it as "partial 16S ribosomal RNA". It matches the Rfam family "Bacterial small subunit ribosomal RNA", at positions 338 to 795 of the family's 1533-position model. The record is from RNAcentral.